UGGGGAAUAUUGGACAAUGGGCGCAAGCCUGAUCCAGCCAUGCCGCGUGAGUGAUGAAGGCCUUAGGGUUGUAAAGCUCUUUUACCCGGGAAGAUAAUGACUGUACCGGGAGAAUAAGCCCCGGCUAACUUCGUGCCAGCAGCCGCGGUAAUACGAAGGGGGCUAGCGUUGUUCGGAUUUACUGGGCGUAAAGCGCACGUAGGCGGAUCUUUAAGUCAGAGGUGAAAUCCCAAGGCUCAACCUUGGAACUGCCUUUGAUACUGGGGAUCUUGAGUUCGGAAGAGGUGAGUGGAACUGCGAGUGUAGAGGUGAAAUUCGUAGAUAUUCGCAAGAACACCAGUGGCGAAGGCGGCUCACUGGUCCGAUACUGACGCUGAGGUGCGAAAGCGUGGGGAGCAAACAGG
This 404-nucleotide ribosomal RNA is filed under the name uncultured bacterium. RNAcentral's name for it is "bacterial SSU rRNA". It matches the Rfam family "Bacterial small subunit ribosomal RNA", at positions 355 to 776 of the family's 1533-position model. The record is from RNAcentral.